RNAcentral lists this ribosomal RNA (433 nucleotides) under uncultured bacterium. RNAcentral describes it as "partial 16S ribosomal RNA". It matches the Rfam family "Bacterial small subunit ribosomal RNA", at positions 29 to 507 of the family's 1533-position model. The record is from RNAcentral.
AACGAACGCUGGCGGCAUGCCUAACACAUGCAAGUCGAACGAUACCUUCGGGCUUAGUGGCGCACGUCUGCUUACCGCCUGGGGAGCUGCCCUUGAGUUAGGAAUCCCUCACUGAAAGAUAACCUAAUACAAGAUAAUGUCAUACGACCAAGGAUGUAUCGCUGUAGGGUGGGCCCUCGUAAGAUUAGCUAGUUGGUGAGGUAAAAGCUAACCAAGGCGACGAUCCUUAGCUGGUCUGAGAGGAUGAUCAGCCACAAUGGGACUGAGACACGGCCCAGACUCCGACGGGAGGGAGCAGUAGGUAAUAUUGGACAAGGGGCGAAAGCCUGAUCCAGCAAUGCCGGGGGAGUGAUGAAUGCCGUAGGGUUGUAAAGCCCUUUUACCCGGGACGAGAAUGACGGUACCGGGAGAAUAAGCCCCGGCUAACUCCGUG